RNAcentral lists this ribosomal RNA (468 nucleotides) under uncultured bacterium. Its description in RNAcentral is "partial 16S ribosomal RNA". It matches the Rfam family "Bacterial small subunit ribosomal RNA", at positions 28 to 507 of the family's 1533-position model. The record is from RNAcentral.
GACGAACGCUGGCGGCGUGCUUAACACAUGCAAGUCGAACGGAAAGGCCCUGCUUUUGUUGGGUGCUCGAGUGGCGAACGGGUGAGUAACACGUGAGUAACCUGCCCUUGACUUUGGGAUAACUUCAGGAAACUGGGGCUAAUACAGGAUAGGAGCUCCUGCUGCAUGGUGGGGGUUGGAAAGUUUCGGCGGUUGGGGAUGGACUCGCGGCUUAUCAGGUUGUUGGUGGGGUAGUGGCUUACCAAGGCUUUGACGGGUAGCCGGCCUGAGAGGGUGACCGGCCACAUUGGGACUGAGAUACGGCCCAGACUCCUACGGGAGGGAGCAGUGGGGAAUAUUGCACAAUGGGCGGAAGCCUGAUGCAGCAACGCCGCGUGCGGGAUGACGGCCUUCGGGUUGUAAACCGCUUUCGCCUGUGACGAAGCGUGAGUGACGGUAAUGGGUAAAGAAGCACCGGCUAACUACGUG